RNAcentral lists this ribosomal RNA (484 nucleotides) under uncultured bacterium. RNAcentral describes it as "partial 16S ribosomal RNA". It matches the Rfam family "Bacterial small subunit ribosomal RNA", at positions 30 to 507 of the family's 1533-position model. The record is from RNAcentral.
AUUGAACGCUGGCGGCAGGCCUAACACAUGCAAGUCGAGCGGAUGAAGGGAGCUUGCUCCUGGAUUCAGCGGCGGACGGGUGAGUAAUGCCUAGGAAUCUGCCUGGUAGUGGGGGAUAACGUCCGGAAACGGGCGCUAAUACCGCAUACGUCCUGAGGGAGAAAGUGGGGGAUCUUCGGACCUCACGCUAUCAGAUGAGCCUAGGUCGGAUUAGCUAGUUGGUGGGGUAAAGGCCUACCAAGGCGACGAUCCGUAACUGGUCUGAGAGGAUGAUCAGUCACACUGGAACUGAGGCACGGUCCAGACUCCUACGGGAGGCAGCAGUGGGGAAUAUUGGACAAUGGGCGAAAGCCUGAUCCAGCCAUGCCGCGUGUGUGAAAAAGGUCUUCGGAUUGUAAAGCACUUUAAGUUGGGAGGAAGGGCAGUAAGUUAAUACCUUGCUGUUUUGACGUUACCAACAGAAUAAGCACCGGCUAACUUCGUG